RNAcentral lists this ribosomal RNA (541 nucleotides) under uncultured bacterium. Its description in RNAcentral is "bacterial SSU rRNA". It matches the Rfam family "Bacterial small subunit ribosomal RNA", at positions 352 to 883 of the family's 1533-position model. The record is from RNAcentral.
CAGUAGGGAAUCUUCCGCAAUGGACGAAAGUCUGACGGAGCAACGCCGCGUGAGUGAUGAAGGUUUUCGGAUCGUAAAGCUCUGUUGUUAGGGAAGAACAAGUACCGUUCGAAUAGGGCGGUACCUUGACGGUACCUAACCAGAAAGCCACGGCUAACUACGUGCCAGCAGCCGCGGUAAUACGUAGGUGGCAAGCGUUGUCCGGAAUUAUUGGGCGUAAAGGGCUCGCAGGCGGUUUCUUAAGUCUGAUGUGAAAGCCCCCGGCUCAACCGGGGAGGGUCAUUGGAAACUGGGGAACUUGAGUGCAGAAGAGGAGAGUGGAAUUCCACGUGUAGCGGUGAAAUGCGUAGAGAUGUGGAGGAACACCAGUGGCGAAGGCGACUCUCUGGUCUGUAACUGACGCUGAGGAGCGAAAGCGUGGGGAGCGAACAGGAUUAGAUACCCUGGUAGUCCACGCCGUAAACGAUGAGUGCUAAGUGUUAGGGGGUUUCCGCCCCUUAGUGCUGCAGCUAACGCAUUAAGCACUCCGCCUGGAGACUAA